AUUAAUACCGCAUACAUCUACGGAUGAAAGCGGGGACCUUCGGGCCUCACGCUAUAGGUUUGCCGAUGGCUGAUUAUCUAGUUGGUGGGGUAAAGCCUACCAACGCGACCAUCAGUAGCUGGUCUGAGAGACGACCAGCCACACUGGGACUGAGACACGGCCCAUACUCCUACGGGAGGCAGCAGUGGGGAAUUUUGGACAAUGGGCGAAAGCCUGAUCCAUCAAUGCCGCGUGUGUGAAGAAGCCUUCGGGUUGUUUAUCACUUUUGUCCG
This 272-nucleotide ribosomal RNA is filed under the name Pseudomonas sp. LM3005. Its description in RNAcentral is "partial 16S ribosomal RNA". It matches the Rfam family "Bacterial small subunit ribosomal RNA", at positions 162 to 442 of the family's 1533-position model. Lineage: Bacteria; Pseudomonadati; Pseudomonadota; Gammaproteobacteria; Pseudomonadales; Pseudomonadaceae. The record is from RNAcentral.